GGCGACGACGGGUAGCCGGCCUGAGAGGGUGACCGGCCACACUGGGACUGAGACACGGCCCAGACUCCUACGGGAGGCAGCAGUGGGGAAUAUUGCACAAUGGGCGCAAGCCUGAUGCAGCGACGCCGCGUGAGGGAUGACGGCCUUCGGGUUGUAAACCUCUUUCAGUAGGGAAGAAGCGAAAGUGACGGUACCUGCAGAAGAAGCGCCGGCUAACUACGUGCCAGCAGCCGCGGUAAUACGUAGGGCGCAAGCGUUAUCCGGAAUUAUUGGGCGUAAAGAGCUCGUAGGCGGUUUGUCGCGUCUGCCGUGAAAGUCCGGGGCUCAACUCCGGAUCUGCGGUGGGUACGGGCAGACUAGAGUGAUGUAGGGGAGACUGGAAUUCCUGGUGUAGCGGUGAAAUGCGCAGAUAUCAGGAGGAACACCGAUGGCGAAGGCAGGUCUCUGGGCAUUAACUGACGCUGAGGAGCGAAAGCAUGGGGAGCGAACAGGAUUAGAUACCCUGGUAGUCCAUGCCGUAAACGUUGGGCACUAGGUGUGGGGGACAUUCCACGUUUUCCGCGCCGUAGCUAACGCAUUAAGUGCCCCGCCUGGGGAAGUACGG
This 604-nucleotide ribosomal RNA is filed under the name Arthrobacter sp. CMT806. RNAcentral describes it as "bacterial SSU rRNA". It matches the Rfam family "Bacterial small subunit ribosomal RNA", at positions 272 to 885 of the family's 1533-position model. Lineage: Bacteria; Bacillati; Actinomycetota; Actinomycetes; Micrococcales; Micrococcaceae. The record is from RNAcentral.